RNAcentral lists this ribosomal RNA (460 nucleotides) under uncultured bacterium. RNAcentral describes it as "partial 16S ribosomal RNA". It matches the Rfam family "Bacterial small subunit ribosomal RNA", at positions 338 to 795 of the family's 1533-position model. The record is from RNAcentral.
CCUACGUGAGGCAGCAGUGAGGAAUAUUGGUCAAUGGGCUUACGCCUGAACCAGCCAAGUCGCGUGAGGGAAGACUGCCCUAUGGGUUGUAAACCUCUUUUGUCAGGGAGCAACGCCGGCUACGUGUAGCCGGACUGAGAGUACCUGAAGAAAAAGCAUCGGCUAACUCCGUGCCAGCAGCCGCGGUAAUACGGAGGAUGCGAGCGUUAUCCGGAUUUAUUGGGUUUAAAGAGUGCGUAGGCGGAAUGCCAAGUCAGCGGUAAAAUCGCGGGGCUCAACCUCGCUCCGCCGUUGAAACUGGCGUUCUUGAGUGGGCGAGAAGUAUGCGGAAGGCGUGGUGUAGCGGUGAAAUGCAUAGAUAUCACGCAGAACUCCGAUUGAGAAGGCAGCAUACCGGCGCCCAACUGACGCUGAAGCACGAAAGCGUGGGUAUCGAACAGGAUUAGAUACCCUAGUAGUC